RNAcentral lists this ribosomal RNA (304 nucleotides) under uncultured bacterium. RNAcentral describes it as "partial 16S ribosomal RNA". It matches the Rfam family "Bacterial small subunit ribosomal RNA", at positions 506 to 809 of the family's 1533-position model. The record is from RNAcentral.
CAGCAGUAGCCGCGGGAAUACGUAGGUGGCAAGCGUUGUCCGGAAUUAUUGGGCGUAAAGCGCGCGUAGGUGGUUUAAUAAGUCUGAUGUGAAAGCCCACGGCUCAACCGUGGAGGGUCAUUGGAAACUGUUAAACUUGAGUGCAGGAGAGAAAAGUGGAAUUCCUAGUGUAGCGGUGAAAUGCGUAGAGAUUAGGAGGAACACCGGUGGCGAAAGCGGCUCUCUGGUCUGUCACUGACGCUGAGGCUCGAAAGCGUGGGUAGCGAGCAGGAUUAGAUACCCGAGUAGUCCCUGUCUCUUAUAA